CUGGCGGCGUGCUUAACACAUGCAAGUCGAACGAAGCACUCUAUUUGAUUUUCUUCGGAAAUGAAGAUUUUGUGACUGAGUGGCGGACGGGUGAGUAACGCGUGGGUAACCUGCCUCAUACAGGGGGAUAACAGUUGGAAACGACUGCUAAUACCGCAUAAGCGCACAGGAUUGCAUGAUCCGGUGUGAAAAACUCCGGUGGUAUGGGAUGGACCCGCGUCUGAUUAGCCAGUUGGCAGGGUAACGGCCUACCAAAGCGACGAUCAGUAGCCGACCUGAGAGGGUGACCGGCCACAUUGGGACUGAGACACGGCCCAAACUCCUACGGGAGGCAGCAGUGGGGAAUAUUGCACAAUGGGGGAAACCCUGAUGCAGCGACGCCGCGUGAGCGAAGAAGUAUUUCGGUAUGUAAAGCUCUAUCAGCAGGGAAGAAGAAUGACGGUACCUGACUAAGAAGCACCGGCUAAAUACGUGCCAGCAGCCGCGGUAAUACGUAUGGUGCAAGCGUUAUCCGGAUUUACUGGGUGUAAAGGGAGCGCAGGCGGUGCGGCAAGUCUGAUGUGAAAGCCCGGGGCUCAACCCCGGUACUGCAUUGGAAACUGUCGUACUAGAGUGUCGGAGGGGUAAGUGGAAUUCCUAGUGUAGCGGUGAAAUGCGUAGAUAUUAGGAGGAACACCAGUGGCGAAGGCGGCUUACUGGACGAUAACUGACGCUGAGGCUCGAAAGCGUGGGGAGCAAACAGGAUUAGA
RNAcentral lists this ribosomal RNA (749 nucleotides) under uncultured Lachnospiraceae bacterium. Its description in RNAcentral is "bacterial SSU rRNA". It matches the Rfam family "Bacterial small subunit ribosomal RNA", at positions 36 to 782 of the family's 1533-position model. The record is from RNAcentral. Lineage: Bacteria; Bacillati; Bacillota; Clostridia; Lachnospirales; Lachnospiraceae.